UACAGAGACUGCAAGCGUUAUUCGGAUUCACUGGGCGUAAAGGGUGCGCAGGCGGCCGUGUGUGUGAGGCGUGAAAGCCCGGGGCUUAACCCCGGAAUUGCACCUCAAACUACACGGCUAGAGCAUUGGAGAGGGUAGCAGAAUUCACGGUGUAGCAGUGAAAUGCGUAGAUAUCGUGAGGAAUACCAGAGGCGAAGGCGGCUACCUGGACAAUUGCUGACGCUCAGGCACGAAAGCGUGGGGAGCAAAAGGG
This 253-nucleotide ribosomal RNA is filed under the name uncultured bacterium. RNAcentral's name for it is "partial 16S ribosomal RNA". It matches the Rfam family "Bacterial small subunit ribosomal RNA", at positions 524 to 776 of the family's 1533-position model. The record is from RNAcentral.